Long non-coding RNA from Bombus huntii, 5322 nucleotides. RefSeq lists it as uncharacterized. Lineage: Eukaryota; Metazoa; Arthropoda; Insecta; Hymenoptera; Apidae. The transcript has 3 exons. The record is from RefSeq and is a predicted model, not a curated record.
UAGUUUCGCUUAGUAAGGAGUUAUCCCGGUGACCGUGGAUUCGUUUGAACUCAAACAUUGCUAAUAGUAUUAUUUAAUUUAAUUAUUCGUAGAUCGUAUUAUUCAUUAGGCUUAGUGUUUGUUAGACUUAUUAUUAGUUGUACUUAUUAUUUGUUAAGCUUAGUGAUAGACCUGUAUAUACGUGUAAAUAAAAUCUCGGCUUUGUGAAACGAUGGCUAGUCCACAUGAAGAGUCGUCGCGCGCCCAAAAUUCGAAUCGUAAUCCGACAUAUUAAUAUUUUUACAAGAUUUAUGUUCCAUAUACAGGGUGGUUGGUAACUGGCGGUACAAGCGGACAGGGGGUGGUUCUACGCGAAAAAAGAAGUCGAAAAUAUACAAUAAAAAUUUUUCGUUUGAGGCUUUGUUUUCGAGAAAAUCGACUUUGAAUUUUCGCUCGGUACGCGUGCACUUUAUCACGUCUCGUUAUAACGGAUUUCACUGUAGAUAGUUGUCCCGAUGGAAAAAUAAAAAAAAAAAAAAAAAAAAAAUUAAAAAAAAAUUUUUAUUCCAUAUUUUCGACAUCCUUUUUCGCGUAGGAUCACCCCCUUGCCGCUUGUAUCGGCUGUUACAACCACCCUGUAUACAUUUAUUUAGUUACUAUUCUCUGCUUAUUUCAUACGAAUUUCAUAGUCUACAGCCUACUUUAUUUAUUAUGUAUGUAACUUAAAAUCAUUGGAAUAAUGAUUUUUGCAUUAACAUUAAUGUACGUGCCAAAUAAUACGUGUACCGGAAAUGACGUUUACAAAAUGGGGCACGCGGUUGGUUAGAAUUAACCGCAGUACAUUUUCGUACGCUAUUGAUUAUUUCCUGUAAAUGAAGAAUUUUAAUAUAAUGUACAAAAUAUAUAAAAUUUAGCAUUAAAAUUGUCGCACAUAUAUUUAAAAAUUAAUUGGAUUAAAGUAUUUUUCAAAAAUUCUAAGAAUGUAAGGUCGACGUAAGAUUUUACACAGAACUAGUUUCCAUUUUCGCGCGUAAGACUACGUCAUAAAGACAGGGGUGGGGGUAUAGAAAGCGGAUUUUAGACGAGCAGCGUAGGCUUCCUUCAGUCAUCUUACGACUUUGCUGUGAGGAGGGUGUUUUGCUCGGUGGUUUCAAAUCCUUUGUGUGCAGUUGUGUGAAUCUCUUCUGUUUUGUUCUACGACAAACACUAGCCGGAUACAAUCUCACCGUUCGAGAUGGCAUUGGGACAAGCGGAGGGAGUUGGUGUUCGCAACGAUGCUGAAACGUACCGCACGCUCGGGGACCCCAUGUUCUCCAAUCUCUGCGCCUUUCAUUGGUUUGGUUUAUAUAUUAUAUUAUAUGUAUUGGUUUGGUAAUAUACGUAAUAAUGAGCGUUCGAAAUAUGUUCGAAGAGUGUUCGAUUCGAUAUUUUUUAUUUUCAGAAAUAUAUACUUUGUAUGUCUUAUAGUUUAAAGAAAAUUUGUAUAGUACAUUUUAGCUUGUAGAUUUAGUAGUAUCGUUUAAAAUAUUCGCUCUAUUAUUCUGAACGUCAAGAUUUUGUAUAUUUGCUUAAUGUUGAUUAACAGUUUCGUAGACUUUAAGAAAUAAAAUGAAAUUAAUAAAAUUUGGAAAAUGUUUACAAUUUUUCUGCAAUCUUCUAGUUCAUAUUAAUGCCAAAAAUGCUUUUCUGCCCAGCACACUACACAUAACAAAAUUCUGUCGCAGGCAAGAGACCCGUACAUGUACCCAGGCUGUUGGCCGUCAUCGGCAAUAUUAUUUGGCCUGUCUGUGUAUGAGAUAAGGAACGACGAGAGAGGAUUGGUACGGGAUAAAGAAGGGACGGAAAGUCUUUGUUUUUAGAAAAUCGUACAUGAAGUUUUCUGGCUGACGAAUGGAUUGCACCAUGAUCAAGUUGUACAUAAACGUCUCAUCACUCCGCGCUUCCGUAUCUUGAACAUCCAAGCAUCAACUAAUUCGAAAAUCGUCUGACGCGCGAUACUCAUAGGCUUAUUGUGACGAACUACAGCAAAUUGUAGCAAAUCUUAUUUGGUGAGCUCUAAUCCCUUUUGUUCGUUAUCUGUGCAAAUGUGUUUUCUCAUGUCCGGAAAAGUUUUUUCAUAGCUUGUACCACCAGGUUGUAUGCGAGUUGUCGAAGCACACAAGGCAAGCCUCCGGUGAAUAUCAAUAAGGAGAGACAGCGCUAGGGGUAAUGGCCCCCCCUAACGCCAAUUCAAUAGUCAGGAAAUAUUAGGACUGGCUAGAACAAGAGAACGCGUGAAGGGGGUGCAACUGAAGUUAAUUCAUAAGAGGAUCCUGGAGCACCCCUGUCAUACGCGUAGGGUGGUCAUCGUGGAGUUUUAGUCGGUAAGAGUCCGACACUACUCUGCUGUUACGCAAUUACUGCAACAGCAGAGUGUCCAUGAGGAUUUCUCCACGUAAAAAAAAAAAAAAAAAAAAAAAAAAAAAAAAAAAAUAUGGUUGUAUGCGAGUUACUCUGGCUUAUUAAUAUUCCUUGUUCAAAGUUGACCAAGCUGAUAAUAAGAGCUUUUUGAGGUAUGGAGUAAAUUGAAUGCAUCUUUGUUGAGUCUAGAUGAUCCAGAAUGGCGAACUACCGCAAGUAGAGCAACUAAUCGAAAUAAUAGACAUGCACAUAUACGUAAUAUGUUUAAUAUGGAUAGGAAAUUGUUUUGAAAUUUAACAAUCAUUGCAAUAAUUACGUCGGUUUGGAAGUCGUAUUACUAGAUACUUAUUUUCACAGAUUUCAAUUCACUUAUCCAUUGAUUGAUGUUGGGACAAAUGAGGAACUUCGCAUGUUAUUAGAUUAACAAAUAAAAUGUAUUGUUCCUGAUAAAUGGUACGCAGAAUAGUAAUGGAAAUAAAAGACUGGUUUAUAUUACAGUUCAAGUGACUGAUAAUAGGAAAGCAGUGAUGGGAAAAUGAGGCAACGUAUUAUAAAAUUGAAUCCCUAAGUAUAGCAUGUAGAUAAUAUUUUGAGUGUUGACGAAGGACAAAAUUAUGCACAUUCCUUUUCCAAUUCCAAGGAAAUACAUCAUUGAUGAGUCAGUUGUCAAAACACGAUGGAAAUUGCUCAUUGUUAAUUGAACAAGUUUGAUAUAAUUACACAAGCUAAAGAUUUAACUUGAAAUUUGUUUGAAGAAAUUUAUUUUUGCUUAUAUCUGAUGUCAAGCGCGGUAUUAAGUAUUACGCUUUUAUAACUAUUGUUUUAAAUAUUUUUGCGUUGAAAUAUUGUCGUUUGGGUGUCUGUUUUGUACUGCAAGAGUACCCGAAAUAAUUAUACUCGUCAUGUACAGCUAAACAACUACAGGCAGUUGAUCCUAUUCCUGGAACGCGUUGGAUUCGUGUUUACAUGGUACGUUGAUUGGAAUCACUUAGAGACGGAUUACUGGGGGUAUGAGUAAUUAUGUUUCAGCCAGGCUUGGAUAGAGAACGCGUUUAAUCGACGUUUAAAGGUCCGCUUAAAAUACACAUGCUCUGGUAGUUUCUAAUUGGAUCGUUAUAGAUGUCGUAUACUUUCUGCUAAAUCCGUUUUUGGGAGACAUUAAGAUGAAAAAGGUCGUAUUUUUAAAGAGGGGGAGAGAGGUGGUAUGCUUUGGAUAAAGGUAACAAUUUUAUAUGAAGGAUGAUUAUUGUAAACAUUGAAUAUAAUUGGGGAAAAUUGAGAAACUGGUGCAACUUGUCGUAUUAUGAGCUACAGGUCUGGUGCUGUGUCUAUCUCUUAUCACUUUAAUACAAUGGAUGAGACAUUUGUAUGGCGUUUUUUGAUAAUGGAAAACGUGUUCGUGCUGUAUGUUUUGCAUUCAAUAACAGGAAAUGGUUCUGCAAUUUCAGUAAUUCAAAGUACUUGCAGUAUAAUGAUAAGCAUAAUACAAUAUAAAUUUGCAUUUCAUCCGGCUACUGAAGGAAAUACUUGUUUGACAAUGGAACAGAUCAUUGCUAAGAAAGGAAGAAACCAGCAGAUUGUGUAUCUAUAAUCUAUUCUAAAUUAAGAUCAUCGUUUCACGUUUAAUAUUUUAGAUCUGCAAAAGGUGAUUGACAUUUCAUUGUGAUGACUGUAUACAUUGAAGUUAUAUUUGUCCUUGCUACUUUUUGUUAUUUGUGAAAGUAUGUAGGAUGUAUAAUAGACAAAUAUAGGGAGGAUACAAAUAGCCUUAACUCUUCUGCAGAAGGAGAAAGAAAAAUAAAGGGUGAUAAGGAAAUGCAUAUCAUACCAUACAAAUAAUUUCAAUAUAAAGUCAUUUGAAGCAUGCUAAUGAAAGCAUGGUAAGCAUGGUAGUGUUAAAUUCUUAGAAAUAUGUAAUACCCAAAUAUGAAAUUUGUAUUAUUUAAGUGUUUCAAUAUGUUGGGUAUUCCUGAGUGGACACUUAUAAUUUUUGCUUUAGGAAGUUGAAGAAAGUUACAUUUAUGACGUGAAUUUUGUAAUAAGCCUCCUGCUCUAUGGGAAAGCCAUAUUGUGAAAGCCAUUUAAACAUGUAUGUAUUGUUUAAAUAUUAUUGCUUUUAUUAUACUCAUUAAAAAAGAAAUAAUGUGAUGUUAAUACAAUGAGUCAUAAAAUGUUCAAAUGCGUUGCGUCAAAAUUUUUAUGACAAUUUUUAUAUUUAUAAAAGUUUUGUCUUGUUUUAAUUACAUAAGUACAUGAUAGUUGUAACAAAUUUUUGUUCCAUCAGUUUUCCGGCAGGUAAAAAUCAAAAUAUACUCAUUGAAGUCAAAUGUUUUUCAGAUUAAAAAUUGCAAAUUUAAUAUAAUUGUUUUACGGAUUCAACAGUUUUCUCUUAGGUGGAAUAAUUACUUAAAACAUAUUACUUGUGCUUUUGAUACGCUGAGAACAGAAGAAGAUCUCGUCGAUGUAACUUUAAGCUGCGAAGGAAAAAGGAAUAAGAGCAGACAAAAUGCUAUUAUCUGCAUGUAGUACAUAUUUUAGAGAUUUAUUUAAGGAAAAUCCAUGUCAGCAUCCUGUUAUAAUAUCUCGUGAUGUAAAAUUCGAUGAUUUGGUUGCAUUGGUUGAUUUUAUGUAUCACGGUGAAUUAAAUGUGGUUCGGGAACAAUUAUCUAGUUUUUUAACAACUGCUGAACUGCUUGCUGUUCAGGGCCUUGCCGAUGGCUUAGUAGAUGGUUUAGUAGAGGUAUGUUUUUCAAAAUCGUUAAAUAUGAUUAGAUAUUUUCUGCUUAAAUUAAAAUAAUACACUUGUAUCACGUUAAACUGUGUAUCAGGAUGACAUUUUUAUAUCAACGUUAUUGUUUUUGUAUUCGUAAUGACGCAAUUUUAUUUGAUACUAGUGCUUCAAAAAAAUAAUUAAAAGUCAAUAGAUCUUGUUCGUAUAUUUGA